This 449-nucleotide ribosomal RNA is filed under the name uncultured Thiobacillus sp. RNAcentral's name for it is "bacterial SSU rRNA". It matches the Rfam family "Bacterial small subunit ribosomal RNA", at positions 926 to 1382 of the family's 1533-position model. The record is from RNAcentral. Lineage: Bacteria; Pseudomonadati; Pseudomonadota; Betaproteobacteria; Nitrosomonadales; Thiobacillaceae.
CAAGCGUGGAUGAUGUGGAUUAAUUCGAUGCAACGCGAGAACCUUACUACCCUUGACAUGUCCGGAACUUGCCAGAGAUGGCUUGGUGCCCGAAAGGGAAUCGGAACACAGGUGCUGCAUGGCUGUCGUCAGCUCGUGUCGUGAGAUGUUGGGUUAAGUCCCGCAACGAGCGCAACCCUUAUCAUUAGUUGCUACGCAAGGGCACUCUAAUGAGACUGCCGGUGACAAACCGGAGGAAGGUGGGGAUGACGUCAAGUCCUCAUGGCCCUUAUGGGUAGGGCUUCACACGUCAUACAAUGGUCGGUACAGAGGGUUGCCAAGCCGCGAGGCGGAGCCAAUCCCACAAAGCCGAUCGUAGUCCGGAUUGUUCUCUGCAACUCGAGAGCAUGAAGUCGGAAUCGCUAGUAAUCGCAAGUCAGCAUACUGCGGUGAAUACGUUCCCGGGUCUU